Molecule: non-coding RNA, 30 nt
Filed under: Mus musculus (house mouse)
Lineage: Eukaryota; Metazoa; Chordata; Mammalia; Rodentia; Muridae
Source: RNAcentral
UACCAACGUAACUAGACGUCUGCACAUGGC